RNAcentral lists this unclassified non-coding RNA (352 nucleotides) under uncultured fungus. RNAcentral's name for it is "partial contains small subunit ribosomal RNA, internal transcribed spacer 1, and 5.8S ribosomal RNA". The stretch from base 1 to 73 matches the Rfam family "Eukaryotic small subunit ribosomal RNA", at positions 1759 to 1831 of the family's 1831-position model. Lineage: Eukaryota; Fungi. The record is from RNAcentral.
GCAAACUUGGUCAUUUAGAGGAAGUAAAAGUCGUAACAAGGUUUCCGUAGGUGAACCUGCGGAAGGAUCAUUAUUGAAUAAACCUGGUGGGCUGUCGCUGGCUCCUUGGAGCAUGUGCACGUCUGCCAUCUUUAUCCAUCCACCUGUGCACAAUAUGUAGUCCUUGGGGGUCACUGAACAAGUAGCGGCCGACGGCGGCCGUGAAAGUGCCUUGUCCUUCAGGUCUAUGUCCUUUUUACAUACCACUUUGCAUGUUAAUGAAUGUGAUGGGCUGGGUCACUGUACCCAUAACAAAUGUAAUACAACUUUCAGCAACGGAUCUCUUGGCUCUCGCAUCGAUGAAGAACGCAGC